Molecule: long non-coding RNA, 185 nt
Organism: Xenopus tropicalis (tropical clawed frog)
Lineage: Eukaryota; Metazoa; Chordata; Amphibia; Anura; Pipidae
Exons: 3
Source: RefSeq, a predicted model, not a curated record
AGAAAGAAUUCAGCGUUUCAGAAUGUGGCGGUAUAUCUGUGAAUAUUUUCCUUGCUUCGGCGGGAAACUACCAGAUGAACCUACACAAGAAAUUAUCGAGAAACAACCAGAUGAACAAACUGAAACAGUUAUUGUGGUAAACACUGUUUUCUUUUUUGUUUGAAAAAAUAAAAGUUUAUAUUGAU